Molecule: long non-coding RNA, 410 nt
Organism: Prionailurus viverrinus (fishing cat)
Lineage: Eukaryota; Metazoa; Chordata; Mammalia; Carnivora; Felidae
Exons: 4
Source: RefSeq, a predicted model, not a curated record
UGAACAUCACCCUCUUGAUUUUCUUCAUUUUAAUGGGCUUUGAAAUGAUCAUCGGGAAGUGGAUCACAUCUCUAACUGCCAAGAUGCAAUUUGGUCAAAGAAGCUGUUUAGCUUUCAUCCUGUAAUCAGAGCUGGUGAUCUAAGAAACAUAAAGAUCUUGUAUUUGCUGGAUGUGCCAAGUAUAAGCAUGAGCCAAUGCAUCACUGUCUUUCUUGAAGAAAAACUUGUUGUUGGACAAUUAGAAUGUACUUGGAGGUAUUCUUGUUGCCAAGAUGCCAGAGAGGAUAUACUUGGGACUGCUCUGUCUAGAGUGCUGCAAGGUGUAAUAGGAAUACCUCACAAGGAGAAAAUUACCUUUGUUGGGAAGAUGACUUGAUGAAUUCAUCUGAAAUGGCCGUAUGCUGGGGUCA